RNAcentral lists this long non-coding RNA (7544 nucleotides) under Medicago truncatula (barrel medic). RNAcentral describes it as "long non-coding RNA (MTRU_LNC000181)". The record is from RNAcentral. Lineage: Eukaryota; Viridiplantae; Streptophyta; Magnoliopsida; Fabales; Fabaceae.
ACCAAUAAAAAUAUCUUAGAGUACCUUUUAAAGUGGCAAGUACAUAUAGAGUCAUUGUCAAUUGAUGUUAGUACUAAUCAUGGACUAUUUAUUUGCAAACUUGUUUGUUUUUUAGUAGAUUUUUUUUUAAACAGCAAAUUUUAUUUAUAUGCUAACCCAACACAAGAAGUGAAGAGGCUAGAGGAAAGACACAAGAUAACAGAUACAUAAAGACAGACAACUAAACCAAAGGCCAAAAAGCCACAACACAAAACCACCCAAACAACCCUUAAUACAAUAGAAUCACAGCAGAAAAACCUUAACCAAAUCAAGCAAAUUAAAAACAAUUACUUAGUUGAUAUUUGUAUGCCUUGUCGCGUUGAUGUUUCAGAAAUGUCUAGGUGGAGGGGAAUGGUGGUGGGGGGGAAGGGGGUGAAUGUUUAUAAGGUCGAAAUUUGACUACAGGAGGACGGUAAGGGGGUAAAUGUCCUGGGAACUGGUUGGAUGGAGGUUUGAAUAUUGGAGUGAUAUGAAAGGCAGCAUCAGCAAAAUGUUGAGGACCAAACAUAAGAGCAGCAAGGAAUACCACUAGCAAGGAUAAGAAAAAGGAUUUAGCCAUUUUAAGAAGUGAUAUUAUUAUUAGUGUUGGUGCAUAAUACAUAUGGAGUUAACUGGUUUUAUACUAAUUAGAGACUCAAAGUGAGUUUAUGGUCAAUCAAAGUCAUUUACUAAAUGUCAAAAUUGUGUAUGAAUUGAAUUAUUCAACAAUGUUACAAGGUCCAUGUAUUUGCUACUACUUGAUGAUCCUUUCAUUUUCCACACAACAAGACCAUUUAGUAUUAUUGGCUUUAUCUCUCCGCUUGUUUGCACACCAUAUGGUUGCGCUCCUUAAUUCUGAAAUAUAGAAUGAUUUUAAACUCAUUUUAGAUUCUCCAAAAAUUAAAAUCUCAUUCCUACGACAACAGAAAAUGGAAGAAACACAAGAUUGUUGGUGUAUUGGUAGCUUACAGUCUGUUGGAAAAAUUCAAUAAGCUAGUUUAUAGUUUCUUUUAAAAAGUAUAUGAGUUUAUAGUUUAUUUUAUUAAUUCCUUUUUCACAAUUGCUUACCUGUAAGAUUAAAAAGUAUAUGUUUCACAAUUGCUUUUUCAUCACAGACUUAUAGUUAUUUUAUUAAUUUAUAGCUUAUUUUUUAGAAGUUAUUUCAAAUAGUGUAUGAGCUUAUAAUUUAUUAUUUUUAUUUCACGCUUACCUUUCAUCAAAUGAUGGAACCGCUUUCCGGACCCUGCGUAUACGUGAGCUUCAGUGCACCGGGUUGUCCUUUAUUUCAUGCUUACCUUUAUUAUUUUGUCUCAAAUUUAUUUUUAUCCUUUAUAAUUUGUAAUAAAGAAAAUGCUAAAAUGUUCUAAAAAAUUGAUAAUUAAGUCAUAAAAUAUUUACAUUCUAAAAAUAUUCAUUCCAACUUUGUUUAAAGAUGCAUCUUCAUCAUCAUAUUCUUGUAAAAAAAUCAAACAGUAAAUUUCAAACGGAAAUUCUUAAAAUUCUUCAAAAAUGCUUUUAUUUGUACAAUUCUAAAGAAUUUAACCACUCCUUAAAAAAAAAAUUAACCAUGUGAUGAUCAGUACAUAUCCUUUAAUUUUACACACCAUAAAAUCAUUUAGUAUUAUUGGUACUAUAACAAGGUAAUGAGUGGAAGUUAUUUGCUACUAAUAUUCUUGAAUUAAGAUUUAGAAAAACCGUACUCCAAGAGCAUGAUAAAUUUUGCAAAUCUAUUCAAAAAAGAGUAUUGACGAGUUUUACAUUUACACGCUCCUUGAACAUUCAUCAAUAUAUCAUCAACAAAACCAAUAUGUAAAUACUACUCCGUCCCUAAAUAUAUAGGAGUCUUUUGUAAAAAUUACGGAGAUUAAGAAAGUUAGUUUUAGUAUUAAAUUUGAAUAUAAUUACUAUUGUUUUUACGAUUUUAUCCUUAAGAGAGAGUUAAUUUAUGUUUUCAACAUAAUAUUUAUUUUUGAUUGAAGAAAAAGAUGCAAAAUAAAUAAAGGUAUGUUACUAAAUAAAUAAUUAAUGUACUAGGGACGGAGGUAGUAUUAGAUAAGGAACAUGAAUAUUUGGGAGGAAAAAUUCUUUGCAUAAGAGGAUCGUCUUAAACAACAAACUGAAAUUAAAAAUACUUGCAAUUGCGGAAGUCUUAAACAACAAACUGAAAUCAUAUCACGAAUAUUAUUAAGUUAUGGACCAAUUUGUAUGCAACAGUUAACCACCAACUACUGCAAGAAAAUAUCAUAUUAGCUACCAAAAUCUAGCUACGGUCUAUUGCUCUAGUUAAUUUGUCUUUAAUUAGCUUUGCUCUUACUACAAGUGAAGUUUGCUAGCUGAUGCUUACACUUGUUCGUUUUUUUUUUUUUUUUGAUUGUACCCAAAUAAAACUAUUUAGCAUCACUGCAAAUGCAUUUUUUUUCAAUUCUUUUGUUUAUGCAAUUUAGAUUCACUCUUGUGGAAUCUAUAAUGUGGACUCUAUAAUAUAUAUUGUUGAUGUUAAUAUUUUUAAAAUUUUAUUUUCAAAUGAGCGUUCAAAUAUACUGAUGCUAAAAUUUUGUAAAUUUUAAUUCUACAAAAAGCAUGCAUGAAUACUUAUGCAAAAAAAAUUACUCAUUUUUUUCUUUAUUUAUUUUGACAAAAUUUCAUUUUCCCCCAUUUAUCUUCUUUCCCACAAUUUUUUUAACACUUCCCGAAAUCUUUUUCCCACUAAUAUUUUAUUUUCCUUUUUCUUUUUACAACAAUUCAUUUCCUCAUCGAACAAAAAGGGAAAACUCAAGAUGUGAAAAAUCAAUAUGAGAAAGCCAUUUUCUCAAUGUGAGUUUAUGGUCAAUAUAAGUCAUUUACUAAAUUCAACAAUGCUACACUCAUAGGUACCAUGUAGUAUUUGCUAGUUAUUGAUGAUCAGUAGCUAUCCUUUCAUUUUCCACACAACAAGACCAUUUAGUAUUAUUGGCUUUAUCUCUCCACUUGUUUGUGCACCAUGGUUGCACUCAUUAAUUCUGAAUUAUUAUAGAAUGAUUUUAAACUCAUUUUAGGUCCUCCAAAAAUUAAAAUACUCAUUCCUACGACAACACAAAAUGCAAGAAACACAAGAUUGUUGGUGUAUUAUAAGCCUGUAAGAUUAUACCGUAUAUGUUUCACAAUUGCUUUUUCAUCACAAGUUUAUAGUUUAUUUUAUUUGAAGUUAUUACAAAUAGUGUAUGAGCUUAUAAUUUUUUUUUUUUAUUUCAUGCUUACCUUUAUUAUUUUGUUUCAAAUUUAUUUUUAUCCUUUAUAAUUUGAAAUAAAGAAAAUACUAAAAUGUUCUAAAAAAUUGAUGAUUAAGUCAUAAAAUAUUUACAUUCUAAAAAUAUUAAUUCCAACUUUGUUUAAAGAUGCAUCUUCAUCAUCAUAUUCUUGUAAAAAAAAUCAAACAGUAAAUUUUAAAUUGAAAUUCUUAAAAUUCUUCAAAAAUGCCUUUAAUUUUCCACACCACAAAACCAUUUAGUAUUAUUGGUGCUAUGAAAAGGUAAUGAGUGGAAGUUAUUUGCUACUAAUAUUCUUGAAUAGAUUUAGCAAAACCGUACUCCAAGAGCAUGAUAAAUUUUGCAGACGGUGAAAAUUUAUUGUGACAAUAAACUAUUUAAAAAAGAGUAUUGACGAGUUUAACAUUUACACUGUAUAAACCCAAAUAUGCAAAAACCCAUAUACUUCUUGAACAUAUCAAGAAAACCAAGAUGUAAAUAUUAGAUAAGGAACAUAAAUACGUCGGAUGAAAAUUUCUUUGCAUAAGUGGAUCGUAAUAAAAAUUAACAAUAAGUUCUUAAAUACAUGCUUCUGAAAGUCUGAAAUACAAUAAAUACAAUAUGCUCUUAAAUUAACAAUAUCAUAGAAAGUCUGAAACUAAAAAUUGCGGAAGUCUUAAACAACAAACUGAAAUCAUAUCAGAAAUAUUAAGUUAUGGAACCAAUUUGUAUGUAAUAGUGAACCACCAACCAUUACAAGAAAAUAUCAUAUUAGCUACCAAAAUCUAGCUACGGUCUAUUGCUCUAGUUAAUUUGUCUUUAAUUAACUUUGCUCUUACUGCAAGUGCAAUUUGACUGGCUGAUGCUUACACUUGUUCGUUAUUGUAUAAAAAAAUUAAAACAAAUUGUAAUGUCUUCUGAUGCCUUUUGGAUCUUCAUUGAUGGUAUUUCCUAGUUCUUCACAAGUCUUUAAGAUGUUCUGCUUUGCGUAUUUGCAUAAUUUCUUCUUGAAUUAUAUAAAAACUAGAAUUACAUGAGUCAAACAGAAAACAUUACAAAUAUCCCAAAAACCAUAGGAAAUUGUUCUAAUACUCCAUUCUGGAUUAAAACUAAUUGAAAAUGACUGGAAAAACAUGCCAAGAAUAACGUAAGAUGAUAUGUUAUCACAACCUCAAACUUAAACUGUUGUUUGUCGGCAAGUAACGAACGAAAAUAAAUUUUAAUUUUGCAUAUUUUUCAAGAAAAACAUAUCUUUUCAAAGAGGUUGCUCAGAUCGUCUUCUCGUCUCAUUUACAGACUUGACUAACUUACACCUUCCAUGAAAGCGCGACAGAAUUAGAGAAUAUAGCCCAUACUCUCAACCACACUCUUAUCCAUGAUACAUGCAUGUAUCACACAAACUCGGUAGGGUUGGUCACGAUAUUUGUCCACUCUAGUCGUCACAUGAAUGUAUCUUGAUGUAAAUUUGAGAGAACUCUAAACAGACAGUCAAGAUCAUACUAUAUACAAAGUAUUAGUUCUUUCAAGGUUAUAACGUAUCUUAGGUUAAGGUGAGAUAUAUUAGAAAAGUAGGCUAACAAAACAACUUGAAGUUAGAUUAUCAACCUGAGGUUUCCUACUAAACAUUGAAGUACUACUAACAUUCCUUCCUUAAACCAAACAAGAUGGGUAUUAAAUAGAACUAUUUAUCUUUUCCUACAUUUGUUUUAAAAGACCAAAAUAUUUGAUGUUUUUAGCUCUUGAUUUUUUCUUUUUUCUAUUUUUUUAUGUAGACCCAUGGUUAUCAACAUUUUUUCAUUUUUUUUCUUUGUGAUAUAAAUAAGUUCUCUGGUAGCCCUUCCUCAAAAAGAAAUCCAAGUUUAGUUUCAAAUCAUACCAAAUUAUUAAAAAUAUUAUAUCUAACUCCAAGAGAAAUCAAAUAGAUGACUUUAAGGAUCAAAACACCCACAACGAGCCGGUAAUAACACAACGCCUAAAACUGAAAAAAAACAAUGCGUCGAAACUCGUUAAGACAACCGUUAGUCUAAUUGGCUAUAUAAGCCUUAAGGUACUAUUAGACAUAACAAUUCUUUCUUAAUAAAUAUUAUUUUCAUUUCACUUUUUCUAUAUUUUGUUUUCAUUUAUGAGUUCCAUCAAGAAUUGUGAUAAUGUGUCACUUGAAAAAAAGAUAGACUAAUGUCACUUAUGAGUUCUAUCAUGAAUUGUAAUAAUGUGUCACUUUUAUAUACAUAUGUUUCAGUAUGGACGGACUGAAGUCAAACACACGUUAGUACUUAGCCAAAAAGCUCGACAAAGUUUCUGGUAACAUAUUUAAUUAAAAUUCAAUAUAAAUAAAAGUGUGAAAAAGCUACUCAACCGUACAAGUUGCCUUUGCAUCCCAGUGCAACUGACACAAAUGUGGUAGCCUCGGUUAGGCUACUAAUACAAUGUGUUAGUUUACAUCAAAAUAUAUAUUCUUUUUAUCAGCAAAUAAAAUUAACAACAGUCCGAGCGCAAUAACCCGAAAGACUUACAGGUACGAGUGAGAAGGAAAAGCAUGCAGAAAACGACUUCUAUUAGUUCGACAGUUUCGUCAAAGGGUGCAGUGAAUGAAUUUGUAUGAGAUGAUGGGUUAGGGUUCUAUUGAGAAGAAUUUCUGGGUGGAGAUGAGAGGGUUCAGUGAGAAGUUGAGAUGAUGGCAUAUGGUUUGAAGGGUUCGGAGUAGAGAAGUUAAAAUUUGAAGGAUCUGUGGGUAGAUGUUUGAGAGGUUUAGGUUCGAUGAAGUGAUUUUGGUAGAAGUUGUGUUUUGGGUGCAGAAAAGAGGAGAGGGAAUGAACAAUUACUUCAGCGCCAGACGCAAAAUUUUGCGGUUUAUUUUUUUUUUUUUUAUUUAACUUUUUUUUUUUUUAAUUUGGUAUGCCGUAUGUGCAAAGAUAGCCCUUCCCCAUUAAACGCUAACAAAUCAUUUACACCAAUAUUAGCGUUCACUAGAAAACGCUAUCACACUCUUAUCAUCACACACCUUUUUUUUUUAUAAUUUUUUUUAAUACCAUAUAAUAGCACUUUCUAUAAAAGGGCUAAUAUAGGUGUCACGUUAUAAUAGCAUGCGUAACGGAAGUGCUAUUAUUAAUAUUAGAGUCAAUCUUUUCAUAGCAUUUUCUCUAAAAGUGCUAUUAAAUUAGCGUUUCCGUUAUAAUAGUCCUUAUGAACAUCAAAUUAAGUUUGGUAUUUUUCAUUAUUCAUGUCGGCGAUUUUUACUAGUUUUGAUUUAAGUAAACGUUUUGAUUGACUUUAAUGACUAAAGUAACUAAGAGAAUAAAGAGUGAAGGAUUUAAUUGGCGUUUUAUUCAAGUCGUGGACCAAAAUUAAAUCUUGUUACACUUUUAAGGAGAAAAAUGGUUGUUUUUCCAAUAAUGUUUUCCAAUAUUAAAUUACAGUUGUUUUAUGCCUUAGGGAUGUUACACUUAAUUGAUAACUUAAAUAAGGUUUUUGGAGGUAAAUAAGAAAGAUGCAAAACCUCCAGCCAAGCCAAAACAACCCCGUUUCGAUUUGUGAACUUGACCAUAAUAUAUUAUACACAAGAUAUAUAAAAACAAAGCAUUGGUAACUAGUAGAUUUUUUUUUUUUAACAGCAAAGUUUAUUUAUAUGCUAACCCAACACAAGAAGUGAAGAGGCUAGAGGAAAGACGCAAGAUAAGAGAUACAUAAAGACAGACAACUAAACCAAGGCCAAAAAGGCACAACACAAACCACCUAAACAACCCUUAAUACAAUAGAAUCACAGCAGAAAAACCUUAACCAAAUCAAGCAAAAACAAUUGCUUAGUUGAUAUUGGUAUGCCUUGUCGCAUUGAUGUUUCAGAAAUGUCUAGGUGGAGGGGAAUGUUGUCUUAUAUGUGGUAAUACAGGUGGUAAUCCAUGUGGUAAACCCCUUACGAAUGGAGUCAAAUUGGUAAAUUUUUGUUCUGGGAUAGUAAUUGGAGGGAGAUUGCAAAAUGUUGAGGAGAAAACAUAAGAGCAGCAAGGAAUAACACUAAUAAGGAUAAGAAAAAGGAUUUAGCCAUUUUAAGAAGUGAUAUUAUUAUUGUGUUGGUGCAUAAUACAUAUGGAAUUAACUGGUUUUAUACUAAUUAGAGACUCAAUGUGAGUUUAUGGUCAAUCUAAGUUAUUUACUAAAUGUCAAAAUUAUGUAUGAAUUGAAUUAUUCAACAAUGUUACAACUUCCAUGUAUUUGCUACUAGUUGAUGAUCAUUAACUAUCCUUAAUUUCAUUUUCCAUACAGCAAGACCAUUUAGUAUUAUUGGCUCUAUCUUUCCACUAAUAG